GUUCCCUGAUGGUAAGCGAUGAGUUUAUAAGGUCCGUUAUAAACUGCUGACACUUCGUUUUGAGACUUUGCGAUAUACGUACCGACUGGAUAUACUCCCCCUCCCAUGUCUUCAGUGUUGUCUCCAGGCCUUUCUGUGCUGCCUCCCCCGACAGAGUAUCUUCUGGUUCGUCCAUUUCCCCAUCUGACUCUAUAUCCGCCAUCGCCUUCAGUGACCCCAAUCCCUUCUGCUCCAACACAUAGUUCAGAGCUUUCUCCUCUCUCAGUUUCUGCCAAUUGUAUAUCCCCGUCUCGUCUUGACCCUUCGGUAUUGGCUUCCUCGUCAGUUGAGAGUGUUGGUUCUCGUCGUCCGAGUCCGCAUUUGUUAAAACACGCUUCAUUUUUAAAGUGAACAACGGGAUAUAUUUGCUUACUUUUAAGUUUCUCCUCGAUGUCUGCCCUGGUUAUGAUGUGGUAGUAGUAUACUGUCUUGGUGUUCAUAGUCGACAGUACCGAUCCUACGCCCGGCCAUAAUAAAAAUGUGUGAGAAAAAAAGAAGUGCCUGGAACGGAAACAAACAUUCCAAACUGGGGGUGGUCCACCACCUGCUACUGACCCACCAACUGGUGAUGACAUAGCAGUGUGGCUCCCUCAUGAGUUUACUGUAGACUCAAAUGAGUUUGAUUCGGAUAACCAGGUACAUCAAAGAUACACAUACUUGUUCAAUAAGUAUUCCAUCUGCUGUAAAGAAAUAUGUAUAUAACUAUAUUAAUUCUUGUUUCAGCUAUUAACUGACAAUAAAAUGGAACACCCAAUUCUAGUCCCUAAAUCACCACUUCUCUGUGAGAAUCCUGAACCAGAAAUAGACAUGAUGUCGCAACCAGGCACAUCUACGAAGACCACACACAACACACCAACAAGUGACACCAGCAAUUACCUCUAAACAACUAGACAUACAACAGAUCACCACCACACCAACAAAGAAAAAAGUAAAGAGUCCGAAUUGUAAAUUAAAACAUAAACUGGUAUAUUAUUUUUAUCUUUAUUAUUUUUUUUAUCCUAAUACAUACCUAUAGUAAAUAAUAUUUAUAUCUGUUUGUGGCACUUAAAUCAAGAUUUAGUAUAGACAUGUAAUCUGAAUAAUCAAUUGAGG
RNAcentral lists this unclassified non-coding RNA (1131 nucleotides) under Melitaea cinxia (Glanville fritillary). RNAcentral's name for it is "misc RNA ENSMCXG00005021579.1". The record is from RNAcentral. Lineage: Eukaryota; Metazoa; Arthropoda; Insecta; Lepidoptera; Nymphalidae.